Molecule: ribosomal RNA, 468 nt
Filed under: uncultured bacterium
Lineage: Bacteria
Description: partial 16S ribosomal RNA
Rfam family: Bacterial small subunit ribosomal RNA
Source: RNAcentral
GAUGAACGCUGGCGGCGUGCUUAACACAUGCAAGUCGAACGGAAAGGCCCAAGCUUGCUUGGGUACUCGAGUGGCGAACGGGUGAGUAACACGUGGGUGAUCUGCCCUGCACUUCGGGAUAAGCCUGGGAAACUGGGUCUAAUACCGGAUAGGACGAUGGUUUGGAUGCCAUUGUGGAAAGUUUUUUCGGUGUGGGAUGAGCUCGCGGCCUAUCAGCUUGUUGGUGGGGUAAUGGCCUACCAAGGCGUCGACGGGUAGCCGGCCUGAGAGGGUGUACGGCCACAUUGGGACUGAGAGACGGCCCAGAGUCCUACGGGGGGGAGGAGUGGGGGAUAGUGCACAAUGGCCGCAAGUCUGAUGCAGCGACGCCGGGUGGGGGAUGACGUCCUUCGGGGUGUAAGCACCUUUCGCAAGGGACAAAGCGGUGUUGUGACGGGAACUGAUGAAGAAGCAACGGCUAACUACGUG